UGCUCGCUAAUUGUCCGCCUGUUGCAAUUUCUCCGUCCGGCCAAGCGAUUGCAAUUAGUACGGCAUCCCGACGUCUGCGGCACGUCAAAUUUCAAACUCGUUUCCGUACUCCCUCGCCACUCGCCACCCGACUCCCAUGUGCUCCCAUGUGCGUGGAGCUAUUUUUGGUGAUAUCCCGAAAACAAUGGCCACAAAAAGAGAAAAAUGGGAAACGAGAGAAUGAAGUUGGCUUAAAAUAGCAUAUAGACUGGGGAAUAUCCAAGCAUAGCUCAGAUAAUAAAUUGGUUGGAUUUAUUUUUCAUUUUUUUCUUAUCUACAUAUGUAGAAUGUAUGUAAAAAAGACAGUUAACAAACAUAUUACGUAUACGACUAGUUGUACUUUUAAAACAGUUGCUUUGUUUGAAUGGAAGCGGUUCUGAUCGAUAUAUUAAAGAUAAAUAAAAAAUAAAAGAUUUAAUUGGCAUCCAUGUUCUACUUGUCACGUACUAAUAGCUUCCAUGAAUAUACCCAUCCAUGCCAUGGCACCCUGGGAAAGCCAGUGUGUCUGAAUCGGUGGGAAUACAUUGGGCUGAUCUGGCUGGCCAUUUGGCCGGUCGGCAUUUGGCGUUGUCUUUCAGUUUUAAUUUUUUUCUCUUUUUUUUUUUUGCCGGCAUUCGACAGAUGAGCUGAGGCAGUGCAUCGCAUCCAAAUCCGCAUCCAUGGGCCUCACCGGCACUCAUCGUACAGGGUGCCUUUGGGCCAGGGGCAUCUGUCAAUUUGGAUUUUGAUUAGCGAACGCCUUCAAUUGCUGGCAUUCGGGGCUUUCGUUUUGACAGCGAUGUGCGGACUUCCUGUAUCGCAUCACGACUGCAAGAUAUAUGAAAGACAAGUGUUUCGAACGUCCCGUCGUAUCCCCCCACAGAGCGCUGUGUAAACAAAGCGCCAAGCAAGCGCAAGACAAAAUAUUCUAAAAUUAAUUUUCGAAAAUGUCUUUUCGGCUCUGCAAGCGCAGCGACAUGAAGCGGGACAAAUGCCGUAUAUAGAUACACCCAAUGGUAGUGUCUCUGAUGAGCAAAUGCAAUUAUGUGGAAAAGCCGAGGGGCAAACAAGGAGUACGGGGUAAUGAAUAGAGCCACGAAAUGGAGCAAGUACUCUUUCAUUUUCCCCUGGCCCAGCCAAUGUGUGUUUGCAUGUGGAAAGCCACACUGAUGACAGACAAGCCACAGCUCUGAAAGUCACAGGAUAACACAAGCUAGUACACAGGGAAGCCACUCACACUUUGACUAAAGAUAGUGCAGGGAAGACAUAUAGCUUCAGUUAAUAAACAGUUUUUAUUAAACGAAUUUCAAGUUUUAUUUUGUUAAACAUUAUAGAAAAAAACAUUUCCCUGUCCUUCUAAUGAAAUAGUACUGUCCGAUGUCGAGUGCUAUAUUUUUGGCGCCAUCUGUGCGUGUGCGAAUAUGAAUUUCUCAGGACAGCUGCUCGUGAUCCUUUUGGCGUCGAGAAAUCAGCGUUCAAAUAUGAUUAAUAAGUAAUUUCUUUGUCAACAACCGACUGGGAUGGCCUGGGAUGACGACAGCGAUAACGAAUACAAUAUAGCACACAUAUAAUAUAUAACGACAGCGACUACGAGUGGAGCUGAAGGGAACGACGCCAUGGAAAUCUUUAAUAAAAUACAUGUAUAAAUAAAUUAUAGGGCGAGCCGAGGCAGGGAAAUAAAGUGGGGAGAGAUGAACUGCGCUGAAUGGAUGCGAACGGGUAAUAAAACAAAGCGACGACGUCGGAGAUACAAAGAUGUGGCUAAAAGGAGGUGCCAGGGGAGUGGCUGCAGGGACGGUGGCUUAUAUGCAAGCGGAGCGUGACCGCACUUCCUUUUAGCCUGGAUCUCCGGCCUCCACCGACCCCACUCCGGCAGCGGCUCCUUGGCCUUGGCUGCUCCCUGUUUAUUUCACAGUUGUAAAUUGCACAAAGUAAAUGAAGUACUUUUUAUUAUAAGCCAACAAGCCAAAGUUGCCUAUUCAAUACACAAGGAAAAAGCUUACAAAUAUUUCUACAGUUAAAGGUCUCAAAAUUGAAAGGAAAUUUUAAUUGGCAUUUAAAUAAAUCAACACUUAGUUAUUAAAUUAUUAUGCCAUUAAAAUGUCAACAAAGCAAAA
Molecule: long non-coding RNA, 2135 nt
Organism: Drosophila ananassae
Lineage: Eukaryota; Metazoa; Arthropoda; Insecta; Diptera; Drosophilidae
Exons: 2
Source: RefSeq, a predicted model, not a curated record